Molecule: long non-coding RNA, 339 nt
Filed under: Bos taurus (domestic cattle)
Lineage: Eukaryota; Metazoa; Chordata; Mammalia; Artiodactyla; Bovidae
Description: long non-coding RNA NONBTAT010751
Source: RNAcentral
UAGGAAGAGGAGAUGAGGGGAAAACCGGGCUGAAUCUAAACAGCCUGACAAUUCAUCUAUUUAAUAUUUAGCCAGUUAAGAAAGGUUGUAAUCCCUGCAAGGCAGCAAGCUCUCCUUUGAUUUCCCUAAUAGCUUUAAAAAUAAUUUCUUACAAGACAAUUAGAAAUUCUGCCUAUGGAUGCAAAUUUCAUAGAAAAACAAUUUUAAGCCUUGAACGUGGGUAAAAUAUCCCUUCGGUUGAAGUCAUUUAUUCUUUUGAUACACUUCUACAACAUGUAUACUUUAAACCUGCUCAGAUAAAGUGAAAUUUAGCAAAAAGGAUAAUUCCCUCCCGCCCCC